CCUGAAAAAACUAUUGAUUAUCAAACGUUUUUACAAGACUAUCAAACGAUUUGAGUAAAAAAAAAGUUUAAAAAAUAAAAGUUGGCCGGCCAUCUUCACGCAGGUAGAAGUUGAUCCGAAAACACGUGAUUGCACUAAUUACAUGCAGUAAUGGUGUAUUAUUUUUUAAGCGAUGUGGUUCAGCCACCAAUCACACUGUUUAUGGGAGUUGACAAAUAUGAAAACGAAAAUCUUAUUAAAUGGGGAUGGCCAGAAGACGUUUGGUUUCAUGUGGACAAAUAUUCAUCAGCCCAUGUAUAUUUACGGUUACAACAUGGUCAAACAAUAGAUGAUAUACCCAGCACAGUUUUAGAAGAUGCUGCACAGCUGGUAAAAGCAAAUAGUAUUGAAGGGAAUAAAAUGAAUGAUAUUGAUGUGAUAUAUACAAUGUGGUCCAAUUUAAAGAAAACACAAGGUAUGGAAGUUGGGCGGGUUGGUUUUCAUAAGGAAAAAGAUGUACGUAAAAUACAUUUGACUAAGCGUGUAAAUGCUGUUAUCAAUCGGCUAAAUAAAACGAAGAGAUCAGUGGAACAAGUAAAUUUAAGACUAGAAAGAGAACAACGAGAUAGAAAUGAAAGAGAAAAUAAGAAACAAAUAUUAAAAGAACAAAAGGAGCGUGAGAAAACAGAAGAAAAAAAGAAACAAGAAGAAGCUGAGAUGAGCUACAGCUCACGGCAAGGGUCCUUCUGAUGGAGAGGGUAGAACUUUAAAAAGAUAAGCAAAGAAAGCCAGUCUUCAAAGAUCUUCCAAUGAUCAAAUAACGACCCCAUUGGAGUUCUACGAAUGGGUCCACCUCCAUUCUACGUUAUCCAAUAUCUCUGUUGCCUACGAAACCGAGAAAUUUUACGCUGAAGCAGCUAAUUGUUUGAAAAAACGUUUUGUUGAUUGUAAAACAAUACCAGGAGCUAUAAUUCAUUAUUCAACAGCACGAACAUGACUUCGAACACGGACAAUACAGGUUAUGAUUCAGAUGACUUCAUGUGAUAAAGUUGAAGUUUCAUGUGUGCACCUAGUUAAAAAUCUUGUCUAAAAUAGGAUUCAUCCCUAUUAGCAUUGAUAUUGAAAUGAAAAUAUAAUGCCAGAUAAAUGAUAUCAAACUGUUUAUUCUUAGUCUUAUUUUUAAAUGUUUUUGGGGUGUUAUUUUUCUGAAUAUUAUGCGAAAAUAUAUUGUCCGUCUACAAGUAAAACAUGUUUAUUUGACAAAUCGUAAACAACUUAAUCGUUAGCAAAUCAUACGUGGCUUUCUAUAAAGACACGAAAAUAUAUGCCAAAAUAGGAAAACAUAUUCCAAUGCAAAACCAUGCAUAAGUAUACCUUGUAAACAAAAUUGGAUGCAAAGUGUGACUUGCUGGACCUCAUUGUUUUUGAUCUAUUAAAAAAAAAUACAUGUCACUCCUGAACCAACUAUAUGCAAAAUUAUUGCGACUAAUAAAUUAGAAAAAAGUUGCAAUUAUUAAUCAUUUUGAAACUUGUGCUGAAUUGAUAAACACAAUUUUACUUUUGUUAACGUAUGAAAAGAUUAAAAUAAAACGUUAAAAUGUUGCUUCAAA
Cephus cinctus (wheat stem sawfly) is the source of this 1589-nucleotide RNA transcript. It is a transcript of the gene named coiled-coil domain-containing protein 25, with no coding region annotated. The transcript has 6 exons. The record is from RefSeq and is a predicted model, not a curated record. NCBI's taxonomy places the organism in Eukaryota, Metazoa, Arthropoda, Insecta, Hymenoptera, Cephidae.